UGGGGAAUAUUGCACAAUGGAGGGAACUCUGAUGCAGCGACGCCGCGUGAGUGAUGAAGGAAUUCGUUUCGUAAAACUCUGUUCUAUGGGAAGAAAAGGACUGUACCAUAGGAGAAAGCUCCGGCUAAAUACGUGCCAGCAGCCGCGGUAAUACGUAUGGAGCGAGCGUUGUCCGGAAUUACUGGGCGUAAAGGGUGCGCAGGCGGCUUUACAAGUUGGAUGUGAAAUAUUGUGGCUCAACCACAAACGUGCAUCCAAAACUGCAAAGCUUGAGUUAAGGAGAGGUAAGUGGAAUUCCUGGUGUAGCGGUGGAAUGCGUAGAUAUCAGGAGGAAUACCGGUGGCGAAGGCGACUUACUGGACUUAAACUGACGCUCAGGCACGAAAGCGUGGGGAGCAAACAGG
This 404-nucleotide ribosomal RNA is filed under the name Fusobacteriota bacterium. RNAcentral's name for it is "Fusobacteria bacterium partial 16S ribosomal RNA". It matches the Rfam family "Bacterial small subunit ribosomal RNA", at positions 355 to 776 of the family's 1533-position model. The record is from RNAcentral. Lineage: Bacteria; Fusobacteriati; Fusobacteriota.